Molecule: long non-coding RNA, 762 nt
Organism: Brassica oleracea var. oleracea
Lineage: Eukaryota; Viridiplantae; Streptophyta; Magnoliopsida; Brassicales; Brassicaceae
Exons: 3
Source: RefSeq, a predicted model, not a curated record
AUUGAAUUAGUAUUAAGCUAAGAUGAAUGUACCUAUGAAUAAUCUGAAGAGAAUCACUUGCAUUGGAUACGACAUGUGGUGGCCUUCAUCCGUGGAUUGUUAUGAGGCUCUGUUCCACUUGUUGGAGGCUUUUGGAUCGUUCUGUUUUUGGGGCAAUAUCAUGUAUAGUUUAAUGUUACUACGCAAUGAUUCUCAAGGUUGGUAAAGAAGAUAUCGGAGGACAUUCUUACGACUUGUAUGUAAAACUUAGACUUGUAAAGAACUGCAAAUGUAAUUCCUUCAAGAACAAGUAAUACAACGUUUAGAGUUUUACUAAGAAGUACUCUCUCUCCUCUCAAUAUGAUCGACCUUCACACUCGAUCUUUAUUCAUUCCCCCUUCUUCUCACGUGUCGCUCUAGAUCUUUUCUGGCUUCCUUUCUUCUUCUGGCUUGGGCCUCUCCUUUGGUAUUGAUACACAAUCGGUGGCCUCAGGGCCUCAUACAUAACAGACAUGCAGAUUUACUCCAAGAAGAAAAUGCACAAAACGUAAAGGAAAUCGAACUUAAUGAUCCGAGGGUUUAUGUUUUUCUGCUUCGUCAACCUCUGCCCAAACCCAGACAAGGUGUUGCUCGCUUUCUCUAAGCCAUUCGCAGGUGCUCCUCCUCCUUGCCGUCUUUUGCCGUAUGAUUCUUUCAGCCAGUUGGGAUCAGCAGUAUUGUUUCUUUAAGAGUAAAGUGUAGUAAACAAGAUAUAUUUUUUUCAAUUAGAUAGCUUGGAGAUCA